UUUUCACACCUCACAGCCUUAUUAGCAUAAUCGGAACCUUUCUGGUUUUUAUAUUCACGAAAGAAUGAAAAAACCCGAGAAAGUCAAAACUUCGUAUAUCUCGGGAUUUUAACGAGACCAGUCUCAUACUCGUGAAAAUCGAGAGAGGAGUUUAAAUGGAAAAAAUUUACCUGCGGCUUCCAGAUGAUCUGAAGAUCAGGGAUAUAGAAAAUAUUGUCAAUUUGAUAUUGCUGAUGAUCCAGUCAAAUCUGCUGAAGCCCAGAAGUUUCCAGACCAUGACAUUAAUGAAUAUUUCUUGAAUGGAAUGCAUGAGGAUUAGAAUGGAACCUUAUUCUGCCUUUUUACCAACUCACACCAUCUUUUCAAGAUUUAUGGAGCCAACCACAGAAGAAUUUGUUCUAUAAACAUCAUUCAUAACAUUCUUAUUUAUGUUGCAUAACUUUAAAUGUUACUGGAUGAAUUGUGUUCACAUAAUGAAUACCAGCAAACUUUUUAUCGAGUGCACUUAUUUUGUAUUUUUCAU
Molecule: long non-coding RNA, 523 nt
Organism: Magallana angulata
Lineage: Eukaryota; Metazoa; Mollusca; Bivalvia; Ostreida; Ostreidae
Exons: 3
Source: RefSeq, a predicted model, not a curated record